This 253-nucleotide ribosomal RNA is filed under the name uncultured bacterium. RNAcentral's name for it is "partial 16S ribosomal RNA". It matches the Rfam family "Bacterial small subunit ribosomal RNA", at positions 524 to 776 of the family's 1533-position model. The record is from RNAcentral.
UACGUAGGGCGCAAGCGUUGUCCGGAAUUAUUGGGCGUAAAGAGCUCGUAGGUGGCGUGUCGCGUCUGCCGUGAAAGCCCAUGGCUUAACUGUGGGUCUGCGGUGGAUACGGGCAGGCUGGAGGCUGGUAGGGGCAAGCGGAAUUCCUGGUGUAGCGGUGAAAUGCGCAGAUAUCAGGAGGAACACCAAUAGCGAAGGCAGCUCGCUGGGACGUUACUGACACUGAGGCGCGAAAGCGUGGGGAGCGAACAGG